This 789-nucleotide long non-coding RNA is filed under the name Taeniopygia guttata (zebra finch). RNAcentral's name for it is "lncRNA (ENSTGUG00000027331.1)". Lineage: Eukaryota; Metazoa; Chordata; Aves; Passeriformes; Estrildidae. The record is from RNAcentral.
GUCGGUUGGUGAACAACCAAGCCUGCUGCUGCUGUGACCUCAGGAACAUAUUCUUGGGUUUUGUUCUCUAAACAAAUAAAGCAAAAUCACAAGCUCUUGAUCAAAUUGGGAAAAAUGGUGCUUGGGAGAUAAUCAAUAAAAGCAAAGAAGGUUGCCAGGCCAGUCAAUAAACAUUGAUGUUUAUCUCCAGGCUGGUCCCAAUUCUGACCUCUUCUAAGUGUAAGCAUUAUUUCCCUUCCCAGUUGCCUGUGAACAACUAACUUGAGAGAAGAGACUGUAGAGUUUGAUGUCAGCCUAGUCCUGCUGUGCCAAGAGGGAUAGGGCUCAUGUUCCAUCUGGGCUGCUGGAAAAAUCUGUCACCUAUCUGCCAGAUUCCUUGGAGAGGAAAAUGCACUUGCUGGAUGAAGAAAAAAUGAUCUGGAAAAAAGAAGACAAAGAGUAUUAGAAGCAAUUGGCUGCAGCAAUAGUGAAAAGAGAUACUUAAAGCAUGGAAAAAUGUGACAUUCCAUUGACAUUUAUCUGCCUCAUCAGAAAGUUGACUUCACCUGGGAAUGUUAAAAUGGGAGGAGACAGAUAUCCAAGCUUCCCUUACUUGUAAGUAUGGAUCUGAAGAAAGGCAGAUAAGGUGUGCUGACAGAUGGGACAGCCCAAUGGCAAAUUGCCCAUCAGCUGGGACAGAUGUUUGGUGCCAUUGGAAGAAAAACCUGCAAACCUGGAACAAUGGUAAGGUCAAUGUUAAGGUACUGAUGAUGUUUCAGAAAUGGAGCUGGUUGAAUUAUUUCAGAUUUU